AUUGAACGCUGGCGGCAUGCCUUACACAUGCAAGUCGAACGGCAGCACGGGAGCAAUCCUGGUGGCGAGUGGCGAACGGGUGAGUAAUAUAUCGGAACGUGCCCAGUCGUGGGGAUAACGUAGCGAAAGCUACGCUAAUACCGCAUACGAUCUAUGGAUGAAAGCGGGGGAUCGCAAGACCUCGCGCGAAUUGGAGCGGCCGAUAUCAGAUUAGGUAGUUGGUGAGGUAAAGGCUCACCAAGCCGACGAUCUGUAGCUGGUCUGAGAGGACGACCAGCCACACUGGGACUGAGACACGGCCCAGACUCCUACGGGA
Molecule: ribosomal RNA, 316 nt
Filed under: uncultured bacterium
Lineage: Bacteria
Description: bacterial SSU rRNA
Rfam family: Bacterial small subunit ribosomal RNA
Source: RNAcentral